GGCCCGCUGGCGCAACGGUAGCGCGUCAGAUUCCAGAUGAAUUCAUUGGAACUUCCUGAAGGUUACCUGUUCGAAUCAGGUGUGGGUCA
This is a transfer RNA of Paraphaeosphaeria sporulosa, 89 nucleotides long. It matches the Rfam family "tRNA". Rfam says of the family: Transfer RNA (tRNA) molecules are approximately 80 nucleotides in length. Their secondary structure includes four short double-helical elements and three loops (D, anti-codon, and T loops). Lineage: Eukaryota; Fungi; Ascomycota; Dothideomycetes; Pleosporales; Didymosphaeriaceae. The record is from Rfam.